CCUACGGGUGGCAGCAGUGAGGAAUAUUGGUCAAUGGGCGGGAGCCUGAACCAGCCAAGCCGCGUGAGGGAAGAAGGUACAGCGUAUCGUAAACCUCUUGUGUCAGGGAACAAAGGCGGGGAAUAGUCCCAGGAUGAGGGUACCUGAAGAAAAAGAAUCGGCUAACUCCGUGCCAGCAGCCGCGGAAAUACGGAGGAUGCGAGCGUUAUCCGGAUUGAGUGGGUGUAAAGGGUGCGCAGGCGGCCUGUUAAGUCAGCGGGAAAAGCCCGGGGCUCAACCCCGGAGAGCCGUUGAAACUGGCGGGCUCGAGUUGGAGAGAAGUACGCGGAAUGCGCGGUGUAGCGGUGAAAUGCUUAGAUAUCGCGUAGAACCCCGAUUGCGAAGGCAGCGUACCGGCUCCACACUGACGCUGAGGCACGAAAGCGUGGGUAUCGAACAGGAUUAGAUACCCCUGUAGUC
Molecule: ribosomal RNA, 459 nt
Filed under: uncultured bacterium
Lineage: Bacteria
Description: partial 16S ribosomal RNA
Rfam family: Bacterial small subunit ribosomal RNA
Source: RNAcentral